Molecule: long non-coding RNA, 1969 nt
Organism: Monodelphis domestica (gray short-tailed opossum)
Lineage: Eukaryota; Metazoa; Chordata; Mammalia; Didelphimorphia; Didelphidae
Source: RefSeq, a predicted model, not a curated record
CACCCUGCAACAUGAGAAGAGAGGAAUCAAGAAACGUCAUUAUCUUAUGCUUCUGGGGGAAGGUGGAAAAAAUAGCCAACAUAUGCAUCAUCUCUAAAUCAUAUCCAAUAAUUAAUUUUCAGGUGGAAACAUGGUUGAUUGGUAUAGCUCAGUCAAGCCCAUGUGGGUGUCAUCUCCACAUUGAAUAACUCACAAUCCUAGUAUUAUUGGUCUGUGACUCAUCAUGAUGGCAAAGGUUCAUUUAUUCUGUCCAUAUUUGGAGAGAAAAAGAACAUAAUGGAAAGGCUGAAUAGGUUGCCAGGCCCAUGCUGAAGGGGAAGGAUGAUGGUGAGAAGCAGCUGGAAGUUCCCAAAGUAAGGCUCUACUCUUCUCUUGGUGCAGCAGUGAAAUGGUUAAUGCAAUACAAGCAAGUCUUCAGCAUCUUAGAGGCUGGCUGCAGCGAUUCCUAGAAUGAGUCAUCUUGCCAUCAGAGUUAGCUAUCUCCCUCCCCUCCCCCUCUUCUUGAGCACUAACAUCCAAAUCUCCCCUGUGGUCAACUUCAGCAAAUGCCAUAUUGCUCAUCCUGACCAGGUUCUUGGCCCUCAACAAUGAAUCUACUCCUUGUCAUGCUGACCGGAAGGAACAGGAAUGUUUGCUGCUUGUGUGACUCUUGCAACAAGUAUAGGCCCCAAAGAACCCAAACCACUACUUCCUGGAUCCCUAGGAUCCACCCCUACAACCUUGGUAUUUAGAUGUUUCUGUGCAAUAAAUAGAGCUAUAAAGCACCGGAGCGGUAGAGCAAAGAAAGGAUCUUAUCACAUACUGACUGGAUUUACUGAGUUGCAGGAAGGGCUGGAAAUGUGCAUGAUUCAAAGGAUGAAUGUUGCUUCUGUGGGGGAAGUGGGGAGGAUGAUAAGAGGAGGUGAAGAAUGAGUAAGUACAAGCACUGAGAUAAAGCGCAAGUUCCCCAGGACCUGUCAGUAAACUCCCCGGGGUCUGCCAUCUCCAAUAAGGCAUCUUUUUGUGAUUACUUUAUGACCAAAGAACCUUUGCACCCACUUCUCACCCCUCAAGUGAACCACCAAGGCCACACGCUCACUUCCGAUGACCCAUACAAACGUUAAGUCUGAAGCCUUCUCCAGAACUCUUUUUGGAGCACGACGUAGAAUUUGAUAGCAAUGAUUAAUCAUGUUGGGAAUGGACUUGGAGGGAAGCUGAAGAUGAAAAAGGAGAAUGCCAAGGAAGGAAAGACAGGACGAGAGGAUUGGGAUCCAGGGAGGCCGAGAUAAAAAUAAAACAUGAAAAGAAAGGGUGUGACAGGCACAUAACGGUGACUAAAAGACUGGGGGGAAAGGGGCAGCACAGCAGGCCAAUGUUGUCUCUUCUUUCAGAAUGACUGAAAGGACGAGAGCAGGGGAGGGCGCCACUUUACCGCGGGGUGCCCGGACAUACUAAUCUCUGCCUAUCUAAAUCUCAGAGGGAGAGCGAAGUGGCCGCAUAGUGCACAGAAGGGCAGCCACCCAAUAGCCCAACCCCCUUUCCCUCCAGCCAAACCAGACUCCCAAGAGCCGAUUUCAACCUGCCUCAGCAGCCGCUCCACACCCCCCUUGAACCUCUAGCUAGCGGAGGCGGGAAGAGAAAGAAUUGGGAGGAAGAGGGAGAGAAGAAAGGUUGGAUACGCUCCUUUGCUUUCUCCACAAACUGGGGGUCCCCCAAAUGCUUUCUAUAAUCUGAAUCCUCCCCCGGCCCGGGCCCAGCGCUUCCCGAUACAGGCCAUGACCAGCUCGGUCAGACACACAGUACGGCCGCGCUUUCGAAGAAAGCGAGAGGUGGAAGCUGGCAGCCCCAAGAGCCCGGGUCUGUUCGCAGCGGCUUUCGUCUCUUGCCUGCCGAGUCCUCAAAACCUACGAGGUUCCAAAAAAAUUUGCAAAGCGUCUUCCCUCCAAGCCCAAGGUCCUCCAAUUACUAAAAAAAAAAAGGGGGGGGGGUC